This 465-nucleotide ribosomal RNA is filed under the name uncultured bacterium. Its description in RNAcentral is "partial 16S ribosomal RNA". It matches the Rfam family "Bacterial small subunit ribosomal RNA", at positions 28 to 507 of the family's 1533-position model. The record is from RNAcentral.
GACGAACGCUGGCGGCGUGCUUAACACAUGCCAGUCGAACGGAAAGGCCCUGCUUGCAGGGUACUCGAGUGGCGAACGGGUGAGUAACACGUGGGUGAUCUGCCCUGCUCUUCGGGAUAAGCUUGGGAAACUGGGUCUAAUACCGGAUAGGAACCAUCUUUAGUGUGGUGGUUGGAUAGUUUUUCCGGUGUAGGAUGAGCUCGCGGCCUAUCAGCUUGUUGGUGGGGUAAUGGGCUACCAAGGCGGCGACGGGUAGCCGGCCUGUGAGGGUGUACGGCCACAUUGGGACUGAGAGACGGCCCAGACUCCGACGGGAGGCAGCAGGGGGGAAGAUUGCACAAGGGGCGCAAGCCGGAUGCAGCGAGGCCGCGGGUGGGAUGAAGGCCUUCGGGGUGAAGACUCAUUUCGCUAGUGACGAAGCUUUUUGUGACGGUACCUAGAUAAGAAGCACCGGCUAACUACGUG